Molecule: RNA transcript, 4351 nt
Organism: Triticum aestivum (bread wheat)
Lineage: Eukaryota; Viridiplantae; Streptophyta; Magnoliopsida; Poales; Poaceae
Exons: 6
Source: RefSeq, a predicted model, not a curated record
UGAGUCCAUCCCCUCUACCCGAUGCCCCCAUCUAUCUCGCUUCUCUCUCUCUCUCGCCUUCUCUUUUUCCGCCGCCGCCGCCUUCGCCGGCCGGUUCCGACGAAAUCCGGCGGUCUCAGCCAUCGUUCUGGCUACCGAUCUCCUCCUCUCCUCGUGCUCUAUAUGCUCCACUCCAUCGACUCGUCGAUCCCACCCUCCCGUGCUUGCCCGCAUCGGUUUUACCCGUCUAGGGUUUCGGGGUGCUCGACCUCCUCGUCGCCGGCGAUGCUCCGCCGUCUUGGUCCGGUCGUCUCCGUCUCCUGCUGCACUCUCUCGUGCUGUUGUGCCUCCUAAAUGGCGCGGUGCUCUCUCCUCUCUGAGCUCUGCCAUAUUCUUUGUGCGUGGCAGCUGAUGCAGCUCUGCCUCCAUGGCUCCAUCCCCAUGCUUGUAGCAGCGGCCCAAGGAGGAGCUUCAUACUCGGCAUGUGGAGCUCGAGACGCGACGGUGGUCCAUGGCACCGAGACCAUCCGUCUUCCUCUACAGAAGCAGCGCGGGCUGCAGAGACGCCCGGCUCCAUCCUGCUCUCAUAUCGCAGUUCUUCUGCCCGACGAAGAAGAGAGGCGAAUAGGAGAACACGAUGCAAAUGUUGUUUCACUAUGCCUACAAGGUGUUCGAAGAAAUUCCAAGAAGACUGACAGGGAGUUUUUGUAUCAGAACAUGUAUUUGUAGGUGUUAUGUCAAAAGACCUGAAAUGUAGGCUACCUAUGUUGAUUAUAAUAAGGGUUUGUUUCCUUGUAUGCUGAUUUAGAUGUUUGUUUUCAAUGUCUUUGAGUAAGCCUGUCAUGCCAUUGUUUUACUUCAGAGUUUUCAAGUUUGCCAUAUACCACUUUUUGAGCUAAGAAAUACUUAUAGUUGACUCAGCCAAGAAAUACUUAUAGUUGAAUAUGGUCUGAUAAGCUCCUUGUUUGACUCUGAAUCCUCCAGAUAAACUCGAGCAAUCAUACUACAACAUUUCCUCAACUGCAAUUAAAGUCGAAAGAUGGUUUGUAAAUGUUCCAUGGUUGCUUACUUCAAAAAAUUUCUCACAUAAGUAUGUAUUUGGACAGAUCAUAAUGUCCGGUGUGUAGUGAUGCUUGAUAAAACAUCUGCUUUUAGCCCUGGGACUCAUGCUUCAGCAUAUGUUCCAUCACGUGAUAACUAUACACUUGGUUAAUAGUGUUUCCUAUUUUCUUAUCCUUAGCUUACCCUGCAUUCUUGAUACUUCAGUUAACAUGUUUAUUAGUUUUUCAUGUCACUCCUGCUUGACAUGCCAAUUCCAAAAGAAACAAAAUCCUGAUACCUCAAUCUUGAAGUUUAUAGAUUGGGUGGUUCGUGUGCAGGUACAACAACAAAUUAAGUAAUAAGUAGAAGUCGACGAUCAGAGGUGCAAAUCGACAACCGGCUCUUCAUGUUAUGGAUUCUUCAUUUUGUUUUUUUCCUAGCUUAGUUUGUAGGUGCAUUCGGAUUUUGUUUUGGGGACAAAGAAUAAUCCAUUUUUAAUUGGGGACCUGUUGCUUAUUUUGUGCCGGACUGAAAAGCUCAACUAAAGGAAGACACUUUUUUUCUAUGUGCAAAUUCUUUUAUUGUUGGAAGAAUAUGUAAAGAAGAAAGAAAUUUUACCCCAUGAGUAAUUCAUCGAAUAUCAUGUUUGUAGAUUCACGUAUAACUUGUAGGACAAGUGAUGAGGAGGGGAAGCGGCUACGAUCAAGCCACUGGCGUUGGGUCGACGGUGUCGUGCCUCUGCGACCGGGAUCAGGCAAGAUUCAUCCAUUUCCGUGACAAGUAAUUCCGAACGGAGGGAGUAGAUGGGAAGAAGUGGCGCCCCUCUCCCCUGAGCUUGGCAGCAGCAGCAGCGAGGACAUCCGCGACGUAUAUCCCAAGAAGUUGCCAAACUACAAGGCCAAGCUGAAAAAUUUCUUUGAAGAGCACUUGCAUACUGACGAAGAGAUACGCUAUUUUCUUGAGGGCAGUGGUAGACUGGAUACUUUGAUGCGAGGGACCAAAAUGAAGAGUGGAUCUGUAUAGCAGUGAAGGAAGGGGGCAUGAUUGUUUUGCCUGCAGGAAUGUAUCACGGAUUCACAUUGGAUAAUGACAACUACAUCAAAGCUGCCCUACACAUACUGGAAGCAGGAGAAUGAAAGGGGUGUGAAGCUCGCCGUCGACACGCAUCGGCUUUGUGUGCGCCGCCAGCGGUCAACCACUCGGCAUCCAACCAGGUACCACCCAAUCGAUUCCAUCAGAAAAUCGACUCUCACUUUUCUCCUGUCUGUCCACCCUUUUCCAAAUGCUCUAGAUCUGAAUAUACUGCUUCCAUAGUAGCUCACAAAUGGCUCUCUUACAAGCUACUAUAGGUUAUGUAGUAGAUUCUUAAUUUAUGCCCUACAUCUCUUCGAAAUAUGUUGGUUCUAGCUAACCAGUCUCUUCACAACAAUACAACCAUCAAUUUGUUAGGUUUAAAAAUGUAAAAUAUAUGCAAGGAAGAGCCUGCCGCAUUGACACGAAGAAUGUGCUUACCCACAAUUUUUCAUGCAUCAUUGUUGAAUCACAAUGAUAUAAACUCACAGCAUACCUAUCUGGCAUUUUGCAUUUUGUAAAACAGUGCACUGUGAACUAAAUUCACUCAGUGCAGGAAGUAUACAUCAUUAUCUGUCUUCACAAAAUACCUCAUUAUCUGUCUGCACAAUUUGUGAGGCAAUGGACUUUGUUAAACUUUUAUCACUGCUGCUUGCCCGCUUGCGCCUCAAUACUAUGUUCGAUUCUAUUUGAAUUCAUAUACACAAUUUCUAUUUCAAACAAAUAUUAUUCUUAUUUCUCACGCUAACAAUUCUCGAAACACGUUUUCCGUAGUGUGAUGAAGACGACCAUCCAGAGUACAUACGCGGUAAGCAUGCGCCAUGUUGGUUAUGUAUGAAACGCAGCUGCAUCGCCUGCUAUUUUGUUCUCUUCUUCUCCACACUGCUGAAAACCAGCAUAUUAUAUAUGUAAAUACAAACAAGUUAUAACAUCAUGAUACACAAUAUAACAUCAUAUUAGUCUAAUUCUUGCUCUGCAGUUUUAGGUACUGUGCUUGCCUGGUAUUUGUUUCCUGACUUUACUGAUUCCUCUCACCAUGGCUCUCUAUCAUCAUUUCCAGUGUCACUACUGCUAUGAAACUUUUCUUGAACCAUUUGUGAGUUCUCAAGUUUAGAGCUUAAAAGGAGUUGCUGUACAAUUUUGUUUUCUUAUGAUUUUGUCCGAACAGUAAUAAUUUACUUAGUUGUUUAGCUUCAUCUAUUCUUGGGCCCACUUUUCUCUAAGUUGAAGCUUUAGCUCCAAGAAACCAAUCAUGUUUAAUUUGCAAUGAGCAUGUGUCUUAUUCAUCAUAUAUGUGUGUGUUCUCAACUUUAGGAGUUACAAGGAGCGAUGGUACAAUUUUACAAUCUGCUAUGCUUUUGUACUUGAAGUGCACUGCUUCCGAAGAAUGAUCCUUAACUUAGGUACUUACCUUCAUGUCUUUCUUAUAGGAUAGCUUUGGAGCUUGGGUACACUUUUCUCUUAUAUAAAGCUUCGUCUUCAAACAAUCAAUGAUAUUUGAGGCUGUUCCAUAACCCACUUCAUUUGGUUCUCACCGAUAUUGAGCGCAAUGCAGUAACACCUGAUGAGCUUGAGGAACAUUGUUAUUGGGGCAAUGAGGUUAAGCUCUAUGAGCACCAUGUAGACGCCCUAUUUGUCAUGUUCUGGCGCAAAAAACCAAACAUCAAGUACUAUGUAUGCACCAUCAUACAAGACAUUUGCCAAGCCAGGCCAGUGAAUCGUAACUUCAAAACACAUUCUUUCUUGCAUAUUGCAUGACACUGUACAUCCCUCUCAAUUCCUUCCUUUCUCCUGCCAGUAUUUUCAGGUCCACUACACCAAAGAGAAUCCGAUGGACUACAUUAACCUGGAUGAUGAUACACCGAAGAUCAGGCUUGCUGACGGCAAUGUGCAUGAUGAUUGUCGCAUCAUGCUGUGAACUGACAAGAGGGCCACCAUCACCACCAACUUGUCAGAGUUCUGCCACCGUGCACACAUCCGCGAAGGAGACAUCUGCACCUUCCACUUCAAGGUCACCGAAAAUGCCGCCUUGCUCUCACCGUGCAUCGCCUCUAGACGCAUUAUCGACAAUGACAGAAGUCGCGUAUGAAUAUGAUCCAUCCAUGUACGGAGCUUAUGACGUACUGAAUCUUGCUUCUUCUUUUGGAUGUUGCAACAUGGUGCCUUUGAAUAGAUAGCAUAUAUGUUGUCGGGCAUGUAACCUCUAAGAUCAUCACUCAUCAGCUUUAAUUGCACCUUUUUAUAUCUGUAUUGCGACUUU